Molecule: ribosomal RNA, 522 nt
Filed under: Fusarium avenaceum
Lineage: Eukaryota; Fungi; Ascomycota; Sordariomycetes; Hypocreales; Nectriaceae
Description: eukaryotic LSU rRNA
Rfam family: 5.8S ribosomal RNA (bases 163-316)
Source: RNAcentral
AGGGAUCAUUACCGAGUUUACAACUCCCAAACCCCUGUGAACAUACCUUAAUGUUGCCUCGGCGGAUCAGCCCGCGCCCCGUAAAACGGGACGGCCCGCCAGAGGACCCAAACUCUAAUGUUUCUUAUUGUAACUUCUGAGUAAAACAAACAAAUAAAUCAAAACUUUCAACAACGGAUCUCUUGGUUCUGGCAUCGAUGAAGAACGCAGCAAAAUGCGAUAAGUAAUGUGAAUUGCAGAAUUCAGUGAAUCAUCGAAUCUUUGAACGCACAUUGCGCCCGCUGGUAUUCCGGCGGGCAUGCCUGUUCGAGCGUCAUUUCAACCCUCAAGCCCCCGGGUUUGGUGUUGGGGAUCGGCUCUGCCUUACGGCGGUGCCGCCCCCGAAAUACAUUGGCGGUCUCGCUGCAGCCUCCAUUGCGUAGUAGCUAACACCUCGCAACUGGAACGCGGCGCGGCCAUGCCGUAAAACCCCAACUUCUGAAUGUUGACCUCGGAUCAGGUAGGAAUACCCGCUGAACUUAA